UAGGAAUUGGCCAGCAGCCGCGGUAAUACGGAGGAUGCGAGCGUUAUCCGGAUUUAUUGGGUUUAAAGGGAGCGCAGACGGGAGAUUAAGUCAGUUGUGAAAGUUUGCGGCUCAACCGUAAAAUUGCAGUUGAUACUGGUUUCCUUGAGUGCAGUUGAGGCAGGCGGAAUUCGUGGUGUAGCGGUGAAAUGCUUAGAUAUCACGAAGAACCCCGAUUGCGAAGGCAGCUUGCUAAACUGUAACUGACGUUCAUGCUCGAAAGUGUGGGUAUCAAACAGG
Molecule: ribosomal RNA, 279 nt
Filed under: Phocaeicola coprocola DSM 17136
Lineage: Bacteria; Pseudomonadati; Bacteroidota; Bacteroidia; Bacteroidales; Bacteroidaceae
Description: partial 16S ribosomal RNA
Rfam family: Bacterial small subunit ribosomal RNA
Source: RNAcentral